Molecule: ribosomal RNA, 484 nt
Filed under: uncultured bacterium
Lineage: Bacteria
Description: partial 16S ribosomal RNA
Rfam family: Bacterial small subunit ribosomal RNA
Source: RNAcentral
AUUGAACGCUGGCGGCAUGCUUUACACAUGCAAGUCGAACGGCAGCGCGGGCUUCGGCCUGGCGGCGAGUGGCGAACGGGUGAGUAAUGCAUCGGAACGUGCCCAGUAGUGGGGGAUAGCCCGGCGAAAGCCGGAUUAAUACCGCAUACGACCUGAGGGUGAAAGCGGGGGACCGAAAGGCCUUGCGCUAUUGGAGCGGCCGAUGUCGGAUUUGCUAGGUGGUGGGGUAAAGGCUUACCAAGGCGACGAUCCGUAGCUGGUCUGAGAGGACGACCAGCCACACUGGGACUGAGACACGGCCCAGACUCCUACGGGAGGCAGCAGUGGGGAAUUUUGGACAAUGGGGGCAACCCUGACCCAGCCAUGCCGCGUGCGGGAAGAAGGCCUUCGGGUUGUAAACCGCUUUUGUUCGGGAAGAAAUCCUCUGGGCUAAUACCCCGGGGGGAUGACGGUACCGGAAGAAUAAGCACCGGCUAACUACGUG